This 264-nucleotide ribosomal RNA is filed under the name uncultured prokaryote. RNAcentral's name for it is "partial 16S ribosomal RNA". It matches the Rfam family "Bacterial small subunit ribosomal RNA", at positions 524 to 788 of the family's 1533-position model. The record is from RNAcentral.
CACGUAGGGGCAAGCGUUGUCCGGAAUUACUGGGCGUAAAGGGCGUGUAGGCGGCCAUGUAUGUCAGGUGUGAAAGGCCUCGGCUUAACCGAGGCAUUGCACAUGAAACUGUAUGGCUUGAGUGCAGGAGAGGGGAGUGGAAUUCCUAGUGUAGCGGUGAAAUGCGUAGAUAUUAGGAGGAACACCAGUGGCGAAGGCGACUUCCUGGACUGUAACUGACGCUGAGGCGCGAAAGCGUGGGUAGCAAACAGGAUUAGAUACCCU